Molecule: ribosomal RNA, 253 nt
Filed under: uncultured bacterium
Lineage: Bacteria
Description: partial 16S ribosomal RNA
Rfam family: Bacterial small subunit ribosomal RNA
Source: RNAcentral
UACAGAGGUCCCAAGCGUUGUUCGGAUUCACUGGGCGUAAAGGGUGCGUAGGUGGUCGGGUAAGUCUGAUGUGAAAUCUCCGAGCUUAACUCGGAAAUGGCAUUGGAUACUAUUCGGCUAGAGGGUUUGAGGGGGGACUGGAAUACCUGGUGUAGCAGUGAAAUGCGUAGAUAUCAAGUGGAACACCAGUGGCGAAGGCGAGUCCCUGGAAAACUCCUGACACUGAGGCACGAAAGCUAGGGGAGCAAACAGG